RNAcentral lists this ribosomal RNA (392 nucleotides) under uncultured bacterium. RNAcentral's name for it is "partial 16S ribosomal RNA". It matches the Rfam family "Bacterial small subunit ribosomal RNA", at positions 523 to 917 of the family's 1533-position model. The record is from RNAcentral.
AUACGGAGGAUGCGAGCGUUAUCCGGAUUUAUUGGGUUUAAAGGGUGCGUAGGCUGUUUGGUAAGUCAGGGGUGAAAUGCCGUCGCUCAACGACGGAGCUGCCCUUGAUACUGCCGAGCUGGAGUACGGAUGCCGUUGGAGGAAUGAGUGGUGUAGCGGUGAAAUGCAUAGAUAUCACUCAGAACACCGAUUGCGAAGGCAUAGGACGAAUCGGUCACUGAUGCUGAGGCACGAAAGCGUGGGGAUAGAACAGGAUUAGAUACCCUGGUAUUCCACGCCGUAAACGAUGAUGACUAACCGCCUGCGAUACAGUGUAGGUGGCCAAGCGAAAGCGAUAAGUCAUCCACCUGGGGAGUACGACCGCAAGGUUGAAACUCAAAUGAAUUGGCGGG